GCGGGCAGCGUCGGAAGAGCGGGAGGCAGUGGUCCGUGAGGCGGUGGCAACCUGGGAAUGGGGCAGUGGCAGCUGAGACCAGGCAGUGCAGGCUGGCCUUGAACUCGGGAUCCUCCUGCCUCAGCCUCCUGAAGCUUGUGGUAUUGCAGGUAUGCGCCACCACACACAACAGGGUUUACUUUUCUGAUCAGGUCUCCUGAUAUUGAUGCCACUGGGCCGAAGAUCAAACUGUAAGAACGCCAGCCUUGGGAGACAAGUUCUCUAAUCAUCAUCCCUGUUAACAGACGGGAAAACUGAGGCUUGUACCAUAAAGCCUUCUGUCCAAGAUCACACGAUUAGGAAAUAAUGGAACCAAAAAACCCAGGCCUGGUGACUACAUCCAAUCUUAACACAAGGCUACCUGCUUGCCAGACAGCAGCCUGGCCCUGACAGAAACUCCAUCAGAUGCCAGAUUUACGAAACCUGCCUCCAGGCACUUUAUGAAAUCUGCACAGGACUGAAUUCUUCUCGAAUGACUGUCAGGCAUCCCUGGGCUCCCAGCUUACCUGGGGACUACUGGCUGCAGCAGGCCCGCUAGUGCCACUCCCUGACCUGCACCAACGUAUCACUUCUGUUACACGCCAGGCCACCUCUGUGUAUGCUCAACCUGGCAUAGCCUAGCUCAGUGUGGCAAACCUAUGGCACGCGUGACAGCGACCAGCUGUUUGUCACUGAAGGCUCUGAAAAGUCUGCCAUCACUGCCCAAGAUUCUGUUCUCUCUUCCUGGUCCUAGGAGCUGACAGUCUGGAGAGGGGGAACAUCUGCAGAUGCCCUCAAUUUUGAUCACAGCUAACCGUCACUGGAGCAAAGAGAGUCACCUGCGGCCUGGCAGUGUGGAGCGGGCAUCAGUAAGGGGGUGCUGGUGCUUAAGCUGGGCCUUCGAGGUUUACAGUGUACCAGUGUGGGAGAGGAAUACAGGCAAAGGGCAAAAGCCGGGAAGUAGAAUUGUACUAUUGCUAUGGUAAUCCUGCUGGAGGCCAGGGAGCCAGGAGAGAGGAGAGGUGUGUGAAGGCCUAAGUUGCACAACAAGCCUGAGGGCCAGGAAAGCUCCUUUUUGCAAGCUCAAGACAAAGGGCUUGAACUGAACUGAGCACAAAAGAAGAGGUGCUGGUCUGUUAGCCAGCUGGAACUGUCUCACCUCAUGAAACACAUGGUCUCAAUCCCUACCUCACACCCUCCUGUCUUUCUGGCUUAGUCUAAUUCAGUAAGAGUGGAUAACAGGUAAUGCUGCAGCCUAGCUCUGCCUUUGGGACUGGCAAUAAUCACUCACC
Molecule: long non-coding RNA, 1310 nt
Organism: Chinchilla lanigera (long-tailed chinchilla)
Lineage: Eukaryota; Metazoa; Chordata; Mammalia; Rodentia; Chinchillidae
Exons: 2
Source: RefSeq, a predicted model, not a curated record